GUGGUAAUGCCGGAUGCUCCGGUUGGAUGCAUGUCCUUCCGGGAAAGAUUCUAUCGGUAUGGGAUGGGGUCGCGUCCUAUCAGCUUGAUGGCGGGGUAACGGCCCACCAUGGCUUCGACGGGUAGCCGGCCUGAGAGGGCGACCGGCCACAUUGGGACUGAGAUACGGCCCAGACUCCUACGGGAGGCAGCAGUGGGGAAUAUUGCACAAUGGGCGCAAGCCUGAUGCAGCGACGCCGCGUGCGGGAUGGAGGCCUUCGGGUUGUAAACCGCUUUUGAUCGGGAGCAAGCCCUUCGGGGUGAGUGUACCUUUCGAAUAAGCACCGGCUAACUACGUGCCAGCAGCCGCGGUAAUACGUAGGGUGCAAGCGUUAUCCGGAAUUAUUGGGCGUAAAGGGCUCGUAGGCGGUUCGUCGCGUCCGGUGUGAAAGCCCAUCGCUUAACGGUGGGUCUGCGCCGGGUACGGGCGGGCUGGAGUGCGGUAGGGGAGACUGGAAUUCCCGGUGUAACGGUGGAAUGUGUAGAUAUCGGAAAAGAACACCA
This 542-nucleotide ribosomal RNA is filed under the name Bifidobacterium dentium. RNAcentral's name for it is "bacterial SSU rRNA". It matches the Rfam family "Bacterial small subunit ribosomal RNA", at positions 160 to 711 of the family's 1533-position model. The record is from RNAcentral. Lineage: Bacteria; Bacillati; Actinomycetota; Actinomycetes; Bifidobacteriales; Bifidobacteriaceae.